GUAUUGUCUAGCAUUCCUCUUGACGAGGAUGGAAGAGGUCUUUAUGGCCUACAGUACACAAAUGGUUAGGGUAUUGUGAACUGCAGUACGCCGUGCCAUGUCUACCCAAAUUUUUU
Small nuclear RNA from Lepisosteus oculatus (spotted gar), 116 nucleotides. The record is from Ensembl. Lineage: Eukaryota; Metazoa; Chordata; Actinopteri; Semionotiformes; Lepisosteidae.